AUGGGGAAACCUAAUCUGUUUGCUGUCAAUCCUAAUCCAAGCUCUUACAGGUUUAAAGGAUUUCAAUCUAUUAUCCAAAACCUUAAGUUUGGUUUUAGAUGGAAAGUUGGCAGUGGAGAGAGGGUCAGCUUCUGGGAAGAUACCUGGUUUGGGACGUCAUCACUAGCUACUCAACUCUGGCCUGUCUACUUAGUUUGCAAUGAACAAACUAAAACUAUUAGGGAGGUUUGGGAUGGAGAAACCCUCAAACUAACCUUUAGGAGGAAUUUUGAUAGCAAGCUCAUGUAG
This 288-nucleotide ribosomal RNA is filed under the name Triticum aestivum (bread wheat). Its description in RNAcentral is "partial small subunit ribosomal RNA". Lineage: Eukaryota; Viridiplantae; Streptophyta; Magnoliopsida; Poales; Poaceae. The record is from RNAcentral.